RNAcentral lists this ribosomal RNA (585 nucleotides) under uncultured bacterium. Its description in RNAcentral is "partial 16S ribosomal RNA". It matches the Rfam family "Bacterial small subunit ribosomal RNA", at positions 355 to 1375 of the family's 1533-position model. The record is from RNAcentral.
UGGGGAAUUUUGGACAAUGGGCGAAAGCCUGAUCCAGCAAUGCCGCGUGUGUGAAGAAGGCCUUCGGGUUGUAAAGCACUUUUGUCCGGAAAGAAAUCCUUGGCUCUAAUACAGUCGGGGGAUGACGGUACCGGAAGAAUAAGCACCGGCUAACUACGUGCCAGCAGCCGCGGUAAUACGUAGGGUGCAAGCGUUAAUCGGAAUUACUGGGCGUAAAGCGUGCGCAGGCGGUUUGCUAAGACCGAUGUGAAAUCCCCGGGCUCAACCUGGGAACUGCAUUGGUGACUGGCAGGCUAGAGUAUGGCAGAGGGGGGUAGAAUUCCACGUGUAGCAGUGAAAUGCGUAGAGAUGUGGAGGAAUACCGAUGGCGAAGGCAGCCCCCUGGGCCAAUACUGACGCUCAUGCACGAAAGCGUGGGGAGCAAACAGGAUUAGAUACCCUGGUAGUCCACGCCCUAAACGAUGUCAACUAGUUGUUGGGGAUUCAUUUCCUUAGUAACGUAGCUAACGCGUGAAGUUGACCGCCUGGGGAGUACGGUCACAAGAUUAAAACUCAAAUGAAUUGACGGGGUCAUAGCUGUUUCCU